UUUCCGUAGGUGAACCUGCGGAAGGAUCAUUAAUGAGUUGUCAUGGGGUUCGAUGCUGGCAGCCAGUUUUUGGAUGCAUGUGCUUGCCCUAACAAUCAUCUUCUUCCAAACACCUGUGCACAUUUUUGAGGGAGUCUUGAGUUGGUUGCCGCUCUUGGGUGAUUUUCUCACAUUCCCUUAAAUCAUUAUACGCUAUUAACAAUGUUGAACGUGCUCUGUGCCGCAAGGCCAUUAAUAUAAUACAACUUUUAACAACGGAUCUCUUGGCUCUCGCAUCGACGAAGAACGCAGC
RNAcentral lists this unclassified non-coding RNA (292 nucleotides) under plant metagenome. RNAcentral describes it as "partial contains small subunit ribosomal RNA, internal transcribed spacer 1, and 5.8S ribosomal RNA". The stretch from base 244 to 292 matches the Rfam family "5.8S ribosomal RNA", at positions 1 to 49 of the family's 154-position model. The record is from RNAcentral.